GUUUCUAGAGUGUAGCGGUCAGCACAUCUGCUUCACACGCAGAAGAUCCUGGGUUCGUGCCCCAGUGGAGCCA
RNAcentral lists this transfer RNA (73 nucleotides) under Pteropus alecto (black flying fox). It matches the Rfam family "tRNA". Rfam says of the family: Transfer RNA (tRNA) molecules are approximately 80 nucleotides in length. The record is from Rfam by way of RNAcentral. Lineage: Eukaryota; Metazoa; Chordata; Mammalia; Chiroptera; Pteropodidae.